GACCACGUGGCCGAGUGGUUAAGGCGACAGACUUGAAAUCUGUUGGGAUCUUCCCGCGUAGGUUCGAACCCUGCCGUGGUCG
Molecule: transfer RNA, 82 nt
Filed under: Guillardia theta CCMP2712
Lineage: Eukaryota; Cryptophyceae; Pyrenomonadales; Geminigeraceae
Description: tRNA GUITHDRAFT_t6
Rfam family: tRNA
About the family: Transfer RNA (tRNA) molecules are approximately 80 nucleotides in length. Their secondary structure includes four short double-helical elements and three loops (D, anti-codon, and T loops). Further hydrogen bonds mediate the characteristic L-shaped molecular structure. tRNAs have two regions of fundamental functional importance: the anti-codon, which is responsible for specific mRNA codon recognition, and the 3' end, to which the tRNAs corresponding amino acid is attached (by aminoacyl-tRNA synthetases). tRNAs cope with the degeneracy of the genetic code in two manners: having more than one tRNA (with a specific anti-codon) for a particular amino acid; and 'wobble' base-pairing, i.e. permitting non-standard base-pairing at the 3rd anti-codon position.
Source: Rfam by way of RNAcentral